Molecule: non-coding RNA, 3509 nt
Organism: Chlorocebus sabaeus (green monkey)
Lineage: Eukaryota; Metazoa; Chordata; Mammalia; Primates; Cercopithecidae
Source: RefSeq, a predicted model, not a curated record
GGGUUUCACCAUAUUGGCCAGGCUGCUCAGCUUGCUUUUUAAAUUUUUAAAAUAACAGCUUAAGAUGCAGUUCACAUGCCAUAAAACUCACAUUAUUUAAGGUGUACAGUUCCACAGUUUUUUAGUAUAUUAACGAAGUUGUGUUCACCACCCCCAAAAGAAACCCUGUUCUCAUCGGUAGCUACCCCCGUUCCCUCUCCCGCACCCCCACACAUAGAGCCACCACCCUGCGGGUUCUGGAAGUUCAUGGAAAUGGAGUCACACGCCAGGUGCUUUCUGUGGGGGCUCCUUUCGAAAGCGGUCUGGACUCAGACCCCAAGAGACACUUCUUGCAUCUCAUGCAGGAAGGAAUUCGAGGUGACUGGCAGAGCGCAGUGAAAGCAGCAAGUUUCUGAGAUACUACUCCAUUGCGGAGUUUGAGUUUGAUGUCCUCAGAAAGCAAGUGGAGGAAUGCACCUCUUCAUUUUUUCAGAAUCAAUAGUAUGCUGACCUUCUGGAGUGAAAGCAUUCCCUCUGUUGAUAGUCUACGCGAGAAUGUGUGUAAGACCCAUGCCAUUUUAUUCUUAAGUAUUUUGCAGAAUUUGUUAAUGAAGCCAUUUCUACCUGGGAUUUUUGUGUGUAAAAAUUUUAAUUUUGAAUACAAGCUUUUAAAUAGCUGUUUAAUUAUUCAGACUUUCUAUUUUUCUCACGUCAAUUUGUUGCAGAUGUAUUGUUCCAUAGGUUUUUGUUCCUUUUGUCCACGUUUUCAAGUGUGCUGGCACCGCGACCUGAGCUAGUAUCUUCAGGUGUCUUGUAAUCUGCCAUGAUGCCUCCUCACGUGUUUUCUGUCAUUGGUUAUUUGUGUUCUCGCUACAUUUUGGCAAUGAUAAAGUUUCUUUAUCAGUUUCUUUAUCAGUUGGCAAUGAUAAAGUUUCUUUAUCAGUUUUGCAAAGAAACAACUGUUGGCUUUGGUGGUCCUCUCUGUUGGUGUCUGCUUUCUAACUCAUCCACACGAGUUGUUUUCCUUCUCAACUUCCUUCUGCCUAUUUUCUGUGGGUGUGCUUCACUGGAUUAUUUCCUCUAAUUUCUUACAAUGAGUUUUGGCUUGCUGGCUUCUUUCUCCCGUGUGGGCAUGGCUCAGCCCUCACUGGUGGUAGUCAGGAGCUUGUCACUGGGUAAAUGUGGGGUCCUCUGUAUCUUGGAUUGUGUCAUAGCAUUGAUUUGGAGGAGAACCAUGGGGUCACUGCCUGCGUGAACUGUGUCUCAUCCAGAGCUGUCUGGGGUGAAGGAUGUAACCAGGUCUUCUAGCACAGCCUCCAGAGGAAAGGCACUGAUGCAAUCUCAGUUUGAGUCCUAGAAUGUGAGCUCUGUUAGGAAUUCCAGUGAUUACAUAGUCCUUCGUUCUGCCGUUGUCCCCUGUUCAGAAGGUCACGGGCAAAAAAAAAAAAAAAAACAGGUCUGGAAAAGUUAGACUUGGUUUAUUUGUCUCAAUCAUACUCUCCCCUUCUGUCAUAGCAAUUUAUGUUGAUUGUAGGAUAUGCUGGGGUUUUUGCACUCUCUCUCUCUUUCCUUUUCUCUCUCUCUCACACACACACAAGAUGACAUUCACGAUCACAGGUGCUUCUGAGAAAGAGUUUGGGCUCAGGGAACAUUUUUGAGGCCUCCACAAGGAGGACCAAGGGUCUUCACAGUGAUUUGUAUGAAGGCCCCACCUCACUUCCAGAUUGUUGGCAAUUUUACAAUUUUACCAGCUUUCCGACUCCUUCACCCCCCCUCCUGUUUCACUGGUCCUACCAUUUACUUACCAUAAACUUGGAAUCUUUACCUGUUUUAUCAGAGCUUUGUUUUUCUCUCCCUACAUUGAUAAAGAAUCCCCCUUGCUGAAAGGUGGUUGGAUUUUUUCUCUUCAUGACUUCAGCUGAUUGGAUGAGGGCCUCCCACAUCAGGGAGGACAAUUUGCUUUACUCAGGGUCCACCGAUGUAAAUGUUAAUCUUAUCUGAAAACACCCUCACAGAAACAUCCGGAAUAACAUUUGACCAAAGGCCUGUGGCUCAGAAGGCAUUAGGUUGACACAUAAAAUUAAUCAUCACAUUCAGCAUUUGGUAAACUUCAACAUGAAGGGAGCUUUGUUCUUUGACUCUAGAAAAAUUUUUCUCUAUCUCUUUGAUAAUGUCUCCUUUUUGUUUAUCUCUUCUGUCUCCUUAUAGCAACAUUUUAAUUCUCAUUUGGACUUCCAUGAUUAAGUCUUUCUGAUUUUAUUUUUUUGGUCAUAUUCCCUAUCUUACUAUCUUUUUGUUUUUGAAUGUUUUGUUCAAUUUUGGCUUCCAGCACUUCUAUUAUUUUAUUGAUCAUAUUUUUAAUUUCUAAUAGAUCUUUGUUAGCCUCUGGGUCACGUUCAUAUUUUACAAUUUUUAUUUUGUGGAUGCAAUCACUUCUUGAAUCUGUCUCUGAAUACUAAUUUUUUGUUUGUAUUUUCUAAAUUACCCAUGUUGUGUGCUGUCUGCUUUUCUGUUUCUCUACCUUUGACUUUCUCUUCGGGGCUCACAUAGUCAGGCGUGCAUCUCCUCCUCAUGCCCCCCUUAAACUCCACAGAGGUGACAGCAAGUCCAGCUCUGAGGGACAAGCCUUCUCCCACCCCUUUUCUUUUAUGAUCAUUAGAGUUUCCUAAAGUACACAAUUUAGUCAAUUUUUAUGUAUCACAUAACUGUUACAGUUAUAAUUUGGAAUACUAAAUAGCAAUGAAGAAAAUGUUUAUAAGAUGCCAGGUGCCAGGAAGAAAAAACUGCGUGUAAAAUUGUAACUACAUCAUGACUAUAAGUACAGGUAAAGCAUGCAUGCCUGUCAGCAGGGUCCAUUUAGAGACAUAGCAUAAUAAAAACAUGUUGUUGUAAGUUUGCUGUGGCUGUGGGUCGCUUUCUCUAUUGGAUUAAUUUACUUUCUUAUUGAUUAAUUUACUUGUGCAGUAAGCCAACAUUAAUGCACACACCAUUUGUUAAAUUAGAAAACUUCCUUUUCCCCAAUCAGAUUGGCAGAGAUCAAAAAGAAUAACCAUAACAAUAACACCCAUUGCUGGGGAGGAAACGCACCCUCUUGCCACAGACUGCUAGAGGGCCUGCAGAUCAGGAGAAAAUUCCUGGAGGGCAAUUCGGCAGGACAGUCAAAAACCUUAAAAUGAACAUGCUCCUUGAUUCACUUCUAGCAAUGUAUUCUAAAGAGCUGAUCAGCAGAACAUUCUAAGAUGACUCUAUAAGGCUGCUUAUUUCAACACUCUUUGUAAUUGCACACUGUGGAAGCAAUCUAUGUAAGCACUUGGUUGAAUAAAUCAUGAUAUAUAUGGAGAAUAAAUGAGGUUAUUAAAACUGAUGCUCCAGAAACUGAUGUUUGGUCUUUAACCACUGUUUAUAAGGAUGCAACCUCAUUAAAUAAAUAAAUAAACAUUACCUUUGUUUAAAUAUUAGCCAUUAAACACCUGAUGCAUUUUAGGCUUUGUGUCCCCACCCAAACCUCAUCUUGAAUUGUAAUCCCCAGG